GGCCUUGACAUACUAAGAACUUUCCAGAGAUGGAUUGGUGCCUUCGGGAACUUAGAUACAGGUGCUGCAUGGCUGUCGUCAGCUCGUGUCGUGAGAUGUUGGGUUAAGUCCCGCAACGAGCGCAACCCUUUUCCUUAUUUGCCAGCGGGUAAUGCCGGGAACUUUAAGGAUACUGCCAGUGACAAACUGGAGGAAGGCGGGGACGACGUCAAGUCAUCAUGGCCCUUACGGCCAGGGCUACACACGUGCUACAAUGGUCGGUACAAAGGGUUGCUACCUCGCGAGAGGAUGCUAAUCUCAAAAAGCCGAUCGUAGUCCGGAUCGCAGUCUGCAACUCGACUGCGUGAAGUCGGAAUCGCUAGUAAUCGCGGAUCAGAAUGCCGCGGUGAAUACGUUCCCGGGCCUUGUACACACCGCCCGUCACACCAUGGGAGUUUGUUGCACCAGAAGUAGGUAGUCUAACCGCAAGGAGGACGCUUACCACGGUGUGGCCGAUGACUGGGGUGAAGUCGUAACAAGGUAGGCGUAGAUGA
This 533-nucleotide ribosomal RNA is filed under the name uncultured bacterium. RNAcentral describes it as "bacterial SSU rRNA". It matches the Rfam family "Bacterial small subunit ribosomal RNA", at positions 977 to 1509 of the family's 1533-position model. The record is from RNAcentral.